Mauremys reevesii (Reeves's turtle) is the source of this 818-nucleotide long non-coding RNA. RefSeq lists it as uncharacterized. NCBI's taxonomy places the organism in Eukaryota, Metazoa, Chordata, Testudines, Geoemydidae. The transcript is spliced from 4 exons. The record is from RefSeq and is a predicted model, not a curated record.
CAGAGGCAACCUUUGCUUACCCCACAGCUGUGCGAGCUCUGCGGAGCAGCCCCGACCGUCUCUCCUUACGCCGCCAGGAGGGGAAGACAGGACAGGACAGAUCAAGGCUCCCUCGUUGACUUACACGAGUAUCCCCGUCCUGAGCCCAAAGACAGCUACCCCCGCCACCCUGCCGGUGCUGAGAGGGGAACCUGAGCCCCCGGGGGCGGCUAAAGGGAGAGCCACGGGCUGGAGCAGACCGAGCGCUGCCCCCCGCGGAGAUGAGCACCCCCUAAGCGGGGACAGGGACGCCGCCCCCCCGGCCAGCACCCGCAACCAAGGCACGAAGGAGCCUCCUGCAGAGGGAGGGGUGGGAGAGGCAGCGCCUGUGCCGCUUCCUCAUUCACCCGGCGCCAGGCGAGGCAGGAACUGCCGUGCGAAGCGGGGAACUCCCCGAGCCGGGGCUCCAGCGGCAGAGGCAGGGGAAGGGAGUGACAGAGGGAGGAGCCUGCUACAAUCUCGUCUAAAAAUUAUGGGGAUUUCCAUUAGUGAGAACAGCAAAAGCCUUGCUUCUUCAAUGUGUAGAGUGCUGUGCCUGCACAGACGGCUACUGAUGUCAGCAGAGAUCUCCACAGGUUCUCAUGAUGCUGAAUAUUGGGGCUGACAAUACUGCAACCUGUGUUUAAUCUAUGUUCAUGAAAAGAGUUUUUUAAAGCUUUUUUUUUUAAAAAGACUUCCUGGUACUAUUAAAACUCCACAGUGCACAUACCCUUCUACUAGGUCUCACUCUGCCUGCUGUCAAAUUGUUAGUGUCUGUGCUGACCAGCAUUGCUGUGACA